Molecule: ribosomal RNA, 301 nt
Filed under: uncultured bacterium
Lineage: Bacteria
Description: partial 16S ribosomal RNA
Rfam family: Bacterial small subunit ribosomal RNA
Source: RNAcentral
CAGUCGCCGCGGUAAAACGGAGGGUGCAAGCGUUAAUCGGAAUUACUGGGCGUAAAGCGUGCGUAGGCGGUUCGUUAAGUCUGUUGUGAAAGCCCCGGGCUCAACCUGGGAAUGGCAAUGGAUACUGGCGAGCUAGAGUGUGUCAGAGGAUGGUGGAAUUCCCGGUGUAGCGGUGAAAUGCGUAGAGAUCGGGAGGAACAUCAGUGGCGAAGGCGGCCAUCUGGGACAACACUGACGCUGAGGCACGAAAGCGUGGGGAGCAAACAGGAUUAGAUACCCCAGUAGUCCCUGUCUCUUAUAU